This 145-nucleotide ribosomal RNA is filed under the name Bacillus sp. (in: firmicutes). Its description in RNAcentral is "Bacillus sp. (in: Bacteria) partial 16S ribosomal RNA". It matches the Rfam family "Bacterial small subunit ribosomal RNA", at positions 368 to 504 of the family's 1533-position model. The record is from RNAcentral. Lineage: Bacteria; Bacillati; Bacillota; Bacilli; Caryophanales; Bacillaceae.
GCAAUGGACGAAAGUCUGACGGAGCAACGCCGCGUGAGUGAUGAAGGCUUUCGGGUCGUAAAACUCUGUUGUUAGGGAAGAACAAGUGCUAGUUGAAUAAGCUGGCACCUUGACGGUACCUAACCAGAAAGCCACGGCUAACUAC